CCAAUAGCGUAUAUUAAAGUUGUUGCAGUUAAAAAGCUCGUAGUUGAAUUUCGGAAUCAAUGGAUCGGUCAUGCCAAUCGGUGUGUACUGGUUUGAUUGGUUCUCACCUUCUAAGGAACCGUGAUGUCAUUAAUUUGGUGUCGCGGGGAAUUAGGACUGUUACCUUGAAAAAAUUAGAGUGUUUAAAGCAAGCUCACGCUUGAAUACAUUAGCAUGGAAUAAUGAAAUAGGACAUUGUAUUCUAUUUUGUUGGUUUCUAGGAUCGAUGUAAUGAUUAAUAGGGAUAGUUGGGGGCAUUAGUAUUCAAUUGUCAGAGGUGAAAUUCUUGGAUUUAUUGAAGACUAACUACUGCGAAAGCAUUUGCCAAGGAUGUUUUCAUUAAUCAAGAACGAAAGUUAGGGGAUCGAAGACGAUCAGAUACCGUCGUAGUCUUAACCAUAAACUAUGCCGACUAGGGAUCGGAUGAUGUUAAUUUUAUAAUGACUCAUUCGGCACCUUACG
Molecule: ribosomal RNA, 501 nt
Filed under: uncultured Glomeromycotina
Lineage: Eukaryota; Fungi; Glomeromycota
Description: partial small subunit ribosomal RNA
Rfam family: Eukaryotic small subunit ribosomal RNA
Source: RNAcentral